Molecule: long non-coding RNA, 1305 nt
Filed under: Apteryx owenii (little spotted kiwi)
Lineage: Eukaryota; Metazoa; Chordata; Aves; Apterygiformes; Apterygidae
Description: lncRNA (ENSAOWG00000002504.1)
Source: RNAcentral
CUGUAACAUACCUGUGUUGAACAUCCCUCCUGCAGUAAGUAGAGUUCCCUUUAGGGGCUGAACUUGGAAAACAGCUGAAGCUAGAUGAGGAGAGGAGGACAAAGAGCAAAGGGAUUAACUCAGCAAGAGGGGGUAGAACACACACACACUUCAGGAGAAGCAUAUUGUCCUGGGCUGAAAAAAUCAAUAGCAGAGGGUAAGCAGGCAUCAGCCAGCUUUAUAUAUAUAGUGCUCUGGGAACUGCUGAAAAACUCCAGAAUAUGUACAAAAGAGUGAUGGUAGUCAUCCAGAUAGGGAUAUAUAUUAAUAGGCUAGAGAAAGAUGUUGCUUGAAAAUGGCUAGGAUGCAAAUUCACUUCGUGGGGAGAAAAUGUGCUAAUAAAUGCUCAUGUUGUAAAGAUGCUAUAUAAAUGUUAAUGCUAAUAAAAUGGCACACACUGUUUUUAUUAAAAUAUUGCUGGGUUUUGGUAGACUGGUCAUUUUGAGACCUUAUCUGAAGUAGAGGAAACAACAUUGCAUAACUAAUAUUUCCCUUUGCAGCUAAGCUGUACUACAGGACCUGCCUUUCUCUUAUGAGAGUGGAAGAUUGCAGGCAAUUAGGAUCAUUCAUGCUGUCCUGGAGAAGUAUGGUACCUAUGAGAGUUUUGAAGUUGCCACUGGAGGAAGACUGCUGAGCAAAUGCCAAAUCUGGUCUGUUAUCCGAAAGUACAUGCAGAAGGAAGGCUGUGUGGGAGAGGACUGAGAUGAUGUUGCCAGAGCUCAGAUGCCUGCUUAUGUGGAUCUCCCAGCUGCUCCCAGUUUGCAGCAAAGAAAUCCCUGCCUAUAUUGGGCAAUUAAGAGUGACAAGAGAGCAAGACGUCCACUCCCUGCCAGCUGAGCAUCAUGUGGUAACUGGUGUCCUGACAGUGGAGAUCCACAAGCUGUCAGAGUGCCUCAUGUCCAGUGCUCCCUAUAAAAGCUGCAGGUCAAACAUCAAAGACCUAGGGACCAGGGACUGUGGGGAGUGCAGGCACCAGUUCUGCGCUGAAGAACACAGACACUGGCACCAAACAGCAGUGUCUUCAAGGGAACAAGAAAAGUGCUGUAACAGUGAAAUGUACUCCUUAUCUGUGUGGGGUUUUGUUUGGUUGUUUUUCUUAACUCUAUCCUCUGCCUCCCCUUCCCUUCCCAGGGUUUCAACCUCAACUAGUUAUAUUUGGGAUUGCAAUGUAAAAUGACAAGAUUGUACUCCUGUUGCAUAGAACUGACAUAAGAGAUUAGAAAAGGUUAAAAUAAAAUGAAAGAUUGCAAAGGUAAGCCUUUGAAA